GACGAACGCUGGCGGCGCGCCUAACACAUGCAAGUCGAACGAGCGAGAGAGAGCUUGCUUUCUCGAGCGAGUGGCGAACGGGUGAGUAACGCGUGAGGAACCUGCCUCAAAGAGGGGGACAACAGUUGGAAACGACUGCUAAUACCGCAUAAGCGCACAGUAUCGCAUGAUACAGUGUGAAAAACUCCGGUGGUACAAGAUGGACCCGCGUCUGAUUAGCUAGUUGGUAAGGUAACGGCUUACCAAGGCGACGAUCAGUAGCCGACCUGAGAGGGUGACCGGCCACAUUGGGACUGAGACACGGCCCAA
Molecule: ribosomal RNA, 309 nt
Filed under: uncultured bacterium
Lineage: Bacteria
Description: bacterial SSU rRNA
Rfam family: Bacterial small subunit ribosomal RNA
Source: RNAcentral